Molecule: long non-coding RNA, 4191 nt
Organism: Triplophysa rosa
Lineage: Eukaryota; Metazoa; Chordata; Actinopteri; Cypriniformes; Nemacheilidae
Exons: 7
Source: RefSeq, a predicted model, not a curated record
CUGCUCAUCAUCAUCGUUUUCAUCAUCGUCACGAGCUGCGAGUUCACUUCUGAGACUUUAUUAUUAACAUCCAGUGAUAAUCCAAACGCGCUCGAGCGUUUCUCCUCAGCGUCUCGUUCUCUUCUCACUGAACACACAUGAUCUCCUGUACGAGCUGUGGACGCGUGCGACGCGCGGAUCGUCGCCGAGCGCGGGGGAAGACGCGGAGAGAGAGAGAGCGCGUGCCGUCCGGGAGGCGCGUGCGGCCGGGACUGCGCGCUCGGGCUCGAGCAGCACCGGAGAGGCGCGGGGAGAGCGGUGACGUCACCCGAGUCCCGGUUAAAGACACAUGGACCUCGAGGAACACUGUGGGCAUGUGAUUGGCCGCAGUAUCGCUGUCGUCACGACUACAGAGAGCUCACAUCCCCUGGGUGCUCAUUAAACACCAUAGACUGUUCUCUUACAGGAUUCCUGCACACACACACACACACACACACUGGUGGUCCUGGUGCCCCUGAGGCUCUGAAACCAGUAAAUCCAUUAACUCACAAACAGUCAAAUGAACCAGCUUCACUUCACUCUGAAAGCAUCUCACGCACACACGCGCACAGACUGACAAAGUGUCAAGAGCAGUUUCAGCAUCACAUGGACACUCACAUCUUCUCAGUCUGGGUUCAGGCUCUCUCUCCAGUCGUGUGGAAAUGAUCCAGCGUGAAAGCAGAAGUUUCAGAUAGGCUGGAGGUGAGCGGACGGACAGAAAGUGUGAAGCUCUGUCCAGCGGCUCCUGAGGGUCUUGCAGUCGGUGGACUCUUUCAGGCACAGGAGAGACAGACACCAGCUCUGAAGACUCUGAUAAAGUUGACAGAUCAACUCCAGCGAUACUCCGUCAAUUUUAUAAAGCAGCCGGAUUAAUCUGAUAAUCCCGGCCGGAGAGAUUAGUUGGCGUCGAGUUUUAUACCCGUGUCACUCUGGAUUAAAGGGUUACGACACCCGUGUCAAGUUAGAUGCCUCGCGCUCCACUCGGAAACAGAGUGAAUUCUAGCUCGACUCAUGAAACAUGACUUGAUUAGCUUCGUGUGGUGACUAAACCUUAAAGAAGUUGAGUCUGAUCCGGUCAUGAUGGACGAUCGGAAGCCGUGAGCUCUGCCGGCGACUGUGAUCACACAUUAGGAUAAUUCACAGAGAAGAGCUCCUGUGGACCCCCGGGGACCCCGCUGCAUUGAUUUAACAUUAACCUGAUCAAGACAUCACCACCGCCAUCUAUCUGAACGAGUCAAAUGAGAAAACAACUGAAAACAAGACUGGGCUCGCGUGACCUCUGAUUGCCUUUCUCACAUGAUGUUUGGACCCGCCUCUCUGGAAUACUUGACUGUGAUUGGUCAGUGGAAACAUUCUAAGAUCUGUGUGCGGAUGAUGAAAGUGUCUCAAUUACAUUUCAUCUCUCUCUCUGAAAUCAGUGUUUCACAUCUGUUUAUUUGUUAUCUAUCCAUCUAAACAUGGUUAUUAAUGCGAAUGAUAGAAUGGAUCUCUUCAGUCCUGGAUGCUGAUUGGUGGAGAGAUGUGAUGUAUUUAUGAUAAAGCACAGCUCUGAUUUCUUCAGCAAGCUUUUAUGGAAAUAACUGUCGUGUGAGAUUUAGAUUUAGUUUCCAUGUCUCUUCAUACAGUAUGGAACUACACUAUGUAGACCAGAGGUUCUGAAACUUGUUUUGUUGUACAGCCCCUUUGUGUAGAAUGCAUUACUCUGCGGCGCCACACAUAACGACUUAUAAUCUUAAACUUUGAAUUUUAUUUCAACCAAAAAGCAUGUUCAGUUGUACAAUGCUGGAACAUCAAUUCUUUUGCUUGGUAGUCUUAUUUUUGAUUUGUUGAUUGCAUAAAAUCAAUGAUACAUUUCUAUAUUUCAUUAAAUGACACAACGUCUGUGGCCCCCCUGAAUCCAUAUUGAGUCCCCAGUUUGAGAACCACUGACAGAGGGCUCUAGACUCAUUUUUCCCACUGGUGGCACUGGUGCGACCCACUUUCUCAGUGGGCCGCACCAACUUACAAUUUGGUCGCACCUUUUUUAUAGUAAUCAUAAAGACCGCUAAUUUGUCACUCUGUCUUUUAAAAUAGUCGGCUAUAGACCACUUCAUAUUUGCGCUUUAACACUUGCAAGCCCAAUAAAUCCCAAAUAAAUGCAAAGAAACGUUGUAUUUGUUAUUUUAUACAGUUAUUAUUUAGUUUUAUAUUCAAGUUAUAAAUUGGCUAUGAAAUGAUCUCACACAAAUAUAACCUGUCACUCUUCACAAUCCUCAUGUAUUGCCCUCUUUGCAAAGAGCUGUAAUUUUGCCACUGGCCUUCUUUAUUUUCACCACAUGAAAUUAAAUUAAAUUAGCUAGCUCAAAACUCAAAAGUAAUUCAGAACUAAAUGAUUAUAUAUGUGCUUUACUACACAUUGUCAUAAAUAAACUUGAAAUACUAAACCUUACUAACCGCUCUUGUUAAAAGGUCUAAGCACGCUUGUGUUCUGAGGUGUUUUGAGUGACUGAUGUGAUGGGUUCAGACAGUGAGUCUCGACAGUGAGCUCGGUGUUUGAUAUACGAGUUGUUUCAACAAAAUGAAUCGGCUCAAAUGAGUCAUCACGUCGUGAAUCGGACAUUAGCGGACAUUGACGCGCUGUUUGUUUUUCACAUCUGAUAGGACAUCGCAAAAGAUAGAAGUUAACACAGAAAACACUUCACUCAAUAGGAUUUUUCCCUUAUGUCAGUUGCAAGUUGUGCAUCACUAAAGCAUUUUAAAGUACUUUUAAGAGGACAUUUACUUGCCCGGGCAUUUGGCCUGACAUAGUCUAUAUGAUGGCGAUGGUCUUGUGUCUUAGUGUUUUGUUAUGUUGUUUAUGUUUUUAUCUCUUUUACCUUUUUCUUGUCUUAAUCUUGGUUAUUUAUUUUUAUGCUGUUUUAUUGGAAAGCACAUUGGUCAACAUGAGCUGCUUUUAAAUGUGCUAUAUAAAUAAAUAAAGAAACAAACAAACAUGUGCGGAACACUUGUCAGGGAAGAAAAGAAGCACAUUCACACCCGGCUGUAAUUCAGGUAAAACUAUUCUCAGAAUGCACCACGUCAGACAUUGAUUCUGACUUCCGACCUUGCUUUUGAUUAAAGUGUUAAAGAUUAAAGAGAGACAGUUCAGAAAGCGAUGUGUUUGACUUCAUUAAGCGCCCAGCGGAACGAUCGGAAUAUGACAUCAAUGUGAGCCGUCUGUCCCGCCAUGCUUUUAUGCCGAUCGGUCGCGCAACACCGAAUGAAGUCAAACACACACUUUAGUUUGGAGUCAGAGAGAGUGACGAGCUCUCACAAUCACCACUCAUAAAUCACAUUAAAUGUUCUAAUAAAUCUCUGGCGGGACAAAAAUCAGUUUUACGCACAAAUUUGACCUCACGCGUUAUAAAGAAACGAUCGCAUUAUGACCAUUUUGGUGGCAGUCUAGAGCCCUGGUUAUGGACAAUAUAUCACAGCGUCUUAUUCUUUAAAACUUCAUAUAAACCCAUCAGGAUGAAAAGUGUCAGGAUUUAUGUCACAAUAAUGACGUUUUAGAAAUGAUCUCGAAGCAUUAUCUACUGGCUUAAUAUCCAAUUCUUUUCGGCGAUCUGUUUAUAAAGUCUGCCACGCGCGAUCAUCAUGUUGAAUGUUUUUAACAACAGGAAUCAAUAGCAGAAAGAGCUGAAAAUAUGUGUGUCUAUUGAUCUCAUGUUGAAUGAGAAUGUUUUAUCAUGACUAAACUAUCAUGUUCAUGUAUAACUCUACUCUGUUAUGAUAUUGCUUUGAUGUAUUCUUUGAAUCAAAACAACAUUCUCGUGACGGCCUUUGUUGUAAAUAUGAAUCUUGUUAAAGAAUGAGCUUGAUUUAAUAAAGGUUAUAAACAAAAGUAUGUCAAUAAAACCAAUACAUCAUCAUGUGUUUCUGAAAGCAAAUCUGAUAUUGAUUUUUCUUGCAUUUUUAGUUUAAAUGCAUGUUUGUCUUGUCAAGCAGUGCGGUUUAUUCUCUGUGCCCGCUUUAUGUGAAGAAGAUUUGUAAACAACAUUUCUUGAACUAUAAAUGAUCUUAUUAGAAUGACAAGCCCAAAGUGUGAGAAUGUCAGUGAUGACACCAGAAGCCCUUCUGAAUAUGAAGUAUGGUUUUAUUCGAGUUUCACUACGACGAGGUUAAAUUCAGAUUCAUUUGUGUUCUUCUCUAAUG